Molecule: ribosomal RNA, 433 nt
Filed under: uncultured bacterium
Lineage: Bacteria
Description: partial 16S ribosomal RNA
Rfam family: Bacterial small subunit ribosomal RNA
Source: RNAcentral
AACGAACGCUGGCGGCAUGCCUAACACAUGCAAGUCGAACGAGACCUUCGGGACUAGUGGCGCACGGGUGCGUAACGGGUGGGAACCUGCCCUUAGGGUCGGAAUAACUCCCCGAAAGGGGUGCUAAUACCGAAUAAUGUCUUCGGACCAAAGAUUUAUCGCCUUUGGAUGGGCCCGCGUUGCAUUAGCUAGUUGGUAAGGUAAAAGCCUACCAAGGCGACGAUCCCUAGCUGGUCUGAGAGGAUGAUCAGCCACACUGGGACUGAGACACGGCCCAGACUCCUACGGGAGGCAGCAGUGGGGAAUAUUGCACCAUGGGCGAAAGCCUGAUGCAGCUAUGCCGCGUGAGUUAUGAAGGCCUUAGGGUUGUAAAGCUCUUUUACCCGGGAUGAUAAUGACAGUACCGUGAGAAUAAGCUCCGGCUAACUCCGUG